UUUAAUUCGAAGCAACGCGAAGAACCUUACCAGCUCUUGACAUCAUCUGACCACCCUAGAGAUAGGGCUUUCCCUUCGGGGACAGAUAGACAGGUGGUGCAUGGUUGUCGUCAGCUCGUGUCGUGAGAUGUUGGGUUAAGUCCCAUAACGAGCGCAACCCUUAUUGUUAGUUGCCAGCAUUCAGUUGGGCACUCUAGCGAGACUGCCGGUGAUAAACCGGAGGAAGGUGGGGAUGACGUCAAAUCAUCAUGCCCCUUAUGAGCUGGGCUACACACGUGCUACAAUGGACGGUACAACGAGUUGCGACCCCGCAAGGGUUAGCGAAUCUUUAUAAGCCGUUCUCAGUUCGGAUUGCUCUCUGCAACUCGAGAGCAUGAAGCCGGAAUCGCUAGUAAUCGCGGAUCAGAACGCCG
Molecule: ribosomal RNA, 413 nt
Filed under: uncultured bacterium
Lineage: Bacteria
Description: bacterial SSU rRNA
Rfam family: Bacterial small subunit ribosomal RNA
Source: RNAcentral